RNAcentral lists this non-coding RNA (84 nucleotides) under Vibrio tubiashii. Lineage: Bacteria; Pseudomonadati; Pseudomonadota; Gammaproteobacteria; Vibrionales; Vibrionaceae. The record is from RNAcentral.
UAUUACGGUGGGCUGGGCGAGGCAGCUUCGGCUGGCCGUUUCCACGUGUGCGGUAGUUCCAACCUUGUUCAGUUCACCACCCUU